AAAAUAAUCCUACCCUUGUGAAUUUUGUUUGUUUGAAUAAUUUUUUUUUUUAAAAAAUUAUUGGAGUCUUUCCCUUCAGAGUUUGCUUUUGAGUUUGUAAAAGAAUUCGAGAACAUCUAAAGGGGAUGGUCAAUAAUUUUUUUUGAAAAAAGACAUUUUUUAAAAUUAAACUUUUUGUAUUCAUUUGUCUAAAAAUUAUUUUUAUAAUAUAAAAACAACUUUUGACAAUGGAUCUCUUGGUUCUCGCAACGAUGAAGAACGCAGCAAAAUGCGAUAAGUAGUGUGAAUUGCAGAAUACGUGAAUCAUCGAAUCUUUGAACGCAUAUUGCACUCUUUUAGUUUACUAAAAAAGUAUGUCUGUUUGAGUAUCAGUAAAAUAUUCUCAUAAAAAUCAUUGUGUAUUUUUAUGGUUAUGAGUGUUUUACAACGAUACAAGUUGUUUCACUUUAAAUUUUUUUUUUAAUAUUGAAAUUUUUCUAAUUUUAAUAAUUAAAAUUGGAUAAAAUUUUCCCGUCAAAAGGAAUAACCUAAACAAUUUUAAAUGAUUAAUUUUAGCAAAAUUUUCGUAAAAAAGGAAAAUUUUUAUUAAAAUAACUUGAUCUCAAAUCAGAUAAGAGUACCCGCUGAACUUAAGCAUAUCAAUAAGCGGAGGAAAAGAAACUAACAAGGAUUCCCUUAGUAACGGCGAGUGAAGCGGGAAGAGCUCAAAUUUGAAAUCUUCAAGGUUUUACCUUGACGAAUUGUAGUUUAAAGAAGUGUUUUCUGCUGAAGUUUUGGUAAAAGUUCUUUGGAAUAGGACAUCAUAGAGGGUGAGAAUCCCGUAUUUGACCAUUAUUUUCAGCUUUGUGAUACACUUUCAAAGAGUCGGAUUGUUUGGGAAUGCAGUCCAAAAUGGGUGGUAAACUUCAUCUAAAGCUAAAUAUUGGCGAGAGACCGAUAGCGAACAAGUACCGUGAGGGAAAGAUGAAAAGAACUUUGAAAAGAGAGUUAAACAGUACGUGAAAUUGUCAAAAGGGAAGCGUUUGACACCAGUGUUGUUUUCUCGAAAAUCAAUUAAAAAUGGCUCGAUUUUGUAUUGCUGAGACCUUAAAAGCUCACUGUACAUUUUUCGUGUCUUUUUUAAUGCACUUUUCGUUUAACAAGUCAACAUCAGUUUCUUUUGUUGUAAAAGGGUCAUUGGAAGGUGGCUUUCUUUUCGGAGAAAGUGUUUAUAGCCUUUGGCCUCUGCAAUCGAGAGACUGAGGUCUGCAGCGUAGACUCUUCGGGUUAGAUACAUUUGUGCUAAGUUAUAGCUUUUAUAGACAACUUGUUGACUAUAAUUAGUCUUGUAGCUUACUCGCUUAUGCUAUUUUACCUACGCUUAGGAUG
Molecule: unclassified non-coding RNA, 1368 nt
Filed under: uncultured Neocallimastigales
Lineage: Eukaryota; Fungi; Neocallimastigomycota; Neocallimastigomycetes; Neocallimastigales
Description: partial contains internal transcribed spacer 1, 5.8S ribosomal RNA, internal transcribed spacer 2, and large subunit ribosomal RNA
Rfam family: Eukaryotic large subunit ribosomal RNA (bases 597-1368)
Source: RNAcentral